AUCCUCCCGUAGUUCAUGAGCAUGAUGAUUGGGUGGUCACGUCUUGGUGUGGCACAGCGCCUCCCACAAACUUGUCACGACGUCGGCGCGUUACCCAUCUCACU
Manis javanica (Malayan pangolin) is the source of this 104-nucleotide small nucleolar RNA. RefSeq annotates it as small nucleolar RNA U13. NCBI's taxonomy places the organism in Eukaryota, Metazoa, Chordata, Mammalia, Pholidota, Manidae. The record is from RefSeq and is a predicted model, not a curated record.